UACAGAGGGGUCAAGCGUUGUUCGGAUUCAUUGGGCGUAAAGGGUGCGUAGGCGGCGCCGUAAGUCCGGUGUGAAAGUUCGGAGCUUAACUCCGAAACUGCAUUUGAUACUGCGGUGCUUGAGGACUGGAGAGGAGACUGGAAUUUACGGUGUAGCAGUGAAAUGCGUAGAGAUCGUAAGGAAGACCAAUGGCGAAGGCGGGUCUCUGGACAGUUCCUGACACUGAGGCACGAAAGCCAGGGGAGCAAACGGG
Molecule: ribosomal RNA, 253 nt
Filed under: uncultured bacterium
Lineage: Bacteria
Description: partial 16S ribosomal RNA
Rfam family: Bacterial small subunit ribosomal RNA
Source: RNAcentral